UACGGAGGGUGCAAGCGUUAAUCGGAAUUACUGGGCGUAAAGCGCGCGUAGGCGGUGAUUUAAGUCGGAUGUGAAAGCCCUGGGCUCAACCUGGGAACUGCAUUCGAUACUGGGUCACUAGAGUAUAGUAGAGGGCGAUGGAAUUUCCUGUGUAGCGGUGAAAUGCGUAGAUAUAGGAAAGAACAUCAGUGGCGAAGGCGAUCGCCUGGACUAAUACUGACACUGAGGUGCGAAAGCGUGGGGAGCAAACAGG
RNAcentral lists this ribosomal RNA (253 nucleotides) under uncultured bacterium. RNAcentral describes it as "partial 16S ribosomal RNA". It matches the Rfam family "Bacterial small subunit ribosomal RNA", at positions 524 to 776 of the family's 1533-position model. The record is from RNAcentral.